This 75-nucleotide transfer RNA is filed under the name Nanobdellota archaeon. Its description in RNAcentral is "tRNA-Asp". It matches the Rfam family "tRNA". Rfam says of the family: Transfer RNA (tRNA) molecules are approximately 80 nucleotides in length. Their secondary structure includes four short double-helical elements and three loops (D, anti-codon, and T loops). Further hydrogen bonds mediate the characteristic L-shaped molecular structure. tRNAs have two regions of fundamental functional importance: the anti-codon, which is responsible for specific mRNA codon recognition, and the 3' end, to which the tRNAs corresponding amino acid is attached (by aminoacyl-tRNA synthetases). tRNAs cope with the degeneracy of the genetic code in two manners: having more than one tRNA (with a specific anti-codon) for a particular amino acid; and 'wobble' base-pairing, i.e. permitting non-standard base-pairing at the 3rd anti-codon position. Lineage: Archaea; Nanobdellati; Nanobdellota. The record is from RNAcentral.
GCUUCGGUAGUCUAGCCUGGUCCAGGAUGCGGGACUGUCAAUCCCGCGACCCGGGUUCAAAUCCCGGCCGGGGCG